GCAUACAUGUUAGUGCAUGUAGGUGUGCAUGUUAGGGCACAGUCCCUCCUUGUUAAAUGUUGGUCCUUCAUAUAAAUUCACAGGAACCGCCCACAUACGAUGGCAUCGUGCAGUACCGAGAAUUCAGGUGAAAGCCAGAAUUUCCUCAUCUGAAGAAAGGGGUUUGUUUAAAAAAGGCCUUCAACAGAGAAAGAGAUAAGACCAAAGUGGCACUGGCCGUGGGGAAUUCCGGUUCCAUUUCCGGUCGACCAGUGAACUGUCAAAACAAACUUUUACUUUUUAAAGUGUUUAUCUGCUCUGUCAGUGUCUUCACUGGCUCCUUCUGUGUAAUACGCGUGACCGGUCCCGGCGGAUAACUCCAAGCCUGGAUUCCUUUCGCAGUCAAACCAUGGAGCCAAGACUGGUCUGGCUUUACCGAGACAGCUAAACUGACUGCUAAAGGGCUCCAGCUUCUCCACGUUGCCACCCUGCAUGCCCUCUGCCUGCCAUCACGCUGCCCAGUGGCACUGAACUAAUGAUGUCAUCAUUUUGAGCCAUCUCUCAGCUGGACCUCUUGACCUCUGAGCCUUUGCUGGACACACAUUAGUGAUGAUGUGUGGUGUGCAGCUGUGGACAUGAAACAACAGUCUCAAGCCAAGAUGACUGAAAAAGCCUAAGUGCUGCAAAAAACACCGUCAUAGAAAUCUUCAUGACGGAUGUUUGAACUGUUUGAAAAGACAGCAGUUGUUGUGCUCAUUUGUGUGACAAAACCUGAAACACUGAGGGACUCGCCUGCCCUGAGCUCAAGGAAAAUGGCCUCACAUUUGCAGCUGAAGAGAGAAAUCAAAACAUAGCUGAUGAUUUAUGGCUGGGCUAAAACCUAAAUAACACCCUGGCUAGCAGCUGGAUCGAGCAGAUAUGACAAGGAAGAGCUGACCUCUUGCUGAUGUAAUGGCUUUGAUUUGUCUUUUGGCCUGUCAUAACACAAAAGCAUGAUGGGUUUCCUGUGACGUGGGUGGUGACUGGUCCACACUGACAACUUGUCGGCUGUCUUCAGAUGCUCAGAACUCCCUCCAUAAUAAUGAAAUAUGCCGGGACCUUUCUUGUUUUAAUCUGGGAGAACCAUUAUUUUGCUUCUGCUGCUGAAGUCUGGGGGGCAGCUGUCAGAGAGAAGAGAGAAAGGCCUGUCAAUCAACCCAUCCCUCUGGCCGCUGACAAGGUCAUUAGGCGUCAUGUGACUUCCGUGUCCCCGCAUCAGCAGAUUACAAUUCAUUUGGCAUGUGUCCUCUUAAAAAAAGCUACAUGUGAUACCUUAGGUGUCAUGAUUCUCUCUAAAAAAAUGUCCAUACUGUGGUGUAUGUGUAGUGUGCAAAUAAGAACAUUCACAGACUUUCA
Seriola aureovittata is the source of this 1374-nucleotide long non-coding RNA. RefSeq lists it as uncharacterized. NCBI's taxonomy places the organism in Eukaryota, Metazoa, Chordata, Actinopteri, Carangiformes, Carangidae. The transcript has 2 exons. The record is from RefSeq and is a predicted model, not a curated record.